GAUGAAGAACGUAGCGAAAUGCGAUAAGUAGUGUGAAUUGCAGAAUUCAGUGAAUCAUCGAAUCUUUGAACGCACAUUGCGCCCCCUGGUAUUCCGGGGGGCAUGCCUGUUCGAGCGUCAUUACAACCCUCAAGCUCUGCUUGGUAUUGGGCCCCGCCAGUUCUGGCGGGCCCUAAAGUCAGUGGCGGUGCCUUCCGGCUCCGAGCGUAGUAAUUCUUCUCGCUCUGGAGACCCGGUUGUGUGCUUGCCAACAACCCCCAAUUUUUUAAGGUUGACCUCGGAUCAGGUAGGGAUACCCGCUGAACUUAAGCAUAUCAAUAAGCGGAGGA
Molecule: unclassified non-coding RNA, 329 nt
Filed under: soil metagenome
Description: partial contains 5.8S ribosomal RNA, internal transcribed spacer 2, and large subunit ribosomal RNA
Rfam family: 5.8S ribosomal RNA (bases 1-120)
Source: RNAcentral